GAGAAUAUAGCUCAGUGGUAGAGCAUUUGCCUAGCAUGCACGAGGCCCUGGGUUUGGCUCCCAGCACUGCCA
RNAcentral lists this transfer RNA (72 nucleotides) under Fukomys damarensis (Damara mole-rat). It matches the Rfam family "tRNA". From Rfam's summary of the family: Transfer RNA (tRNA) molecules are approximately 80 nucleotides in length. Their secondary structure includes four short double-helical elements and three loops (D, anti-codon, and T loops). The record is from Rfam by way of RNAcentral. Lineage: Eukaryota; Metazoa; Chordata; Mammalia; Rodentia; Bathyergidae.